This 253-nucleotide ribosomal RNA is filed under the name uncultured bacterium. RNAcentral's name for it is "partial 16S ribosomal RNA". It matches the Rfam family "Bacterial small subunit ribosomal RNA", at positions 524 to 776 of the family's 1533-position model. The record is from RNAcentral.
UACAGAGGAGCCAAGCGUUGUCCGGAUUGACUGGGCGUAAAGCGCACGCAGGCGGUUGCUCGCGUGGGGGGUGAAAUCUGGCCGCUUAACGGCCAGGCGCCAUCCCAUACGGCGCGACUGGAGUGAUGCAGAGGUCGAUGGAAUUGCCGGUGUAGUGGUGAAAUGCGUAGAGAUCGGCAGGAACACCCAGGGGGAAACCAGUCGACUGGGCAUCUACUGACGCUGAGGUGCGAGAGCGUGGGGAGCGAACCGG